GCUUAACCGGAGAAGUGCAUCGGAAACUGGAUAACUUGAGUGCAGAAGAGGGUAGUGGAACUCCAUGUGUAGCGGUGGAAUGCGUAGAUAUAUGGAAGAACACCAGUGGCGAAGGCGGCUACCUGGUCUGCAACUGACGCUGAGACUCGAAAGCAUGGGUAGCGAACAGGAUUAGAUACCCUGGUAGUCCAUGCCGUAAACGAUGAGUGCUAGGUGUUGGAGGGUUUCCGCCCUUCAGUGCCGGAGCUAACGCAUUAAGCACUCCGCCUGGGGAGUACGACCGCAAGGUUGAAACUCAAAGGAAUUGACGGGGGCCCGCACAAGCGGUGGAGCAUGUGGUUUAAUUCGAAGCUACGCGAAGAACCUUACCAGGUCUUGACAUCUUGCGCCAACCCUAGAGAUAGGGCGUUUCCUUCGGGAACGCAAUGACAGGUGGUGCAUGGUCGUCGUCGGCUCGUGUCGUGAGAUGUUGGGUUAAGUCCCGCAACGAGCGCAACCCUUGCUACUAGUUGCCAGCAUUAAGUUGGGCACUCUAGUGAGACUGCCGGUGACAAACCGGAGGAAGGUGGGGACGACGUCAGAUCAUCAUGCCCCUUAUGACCUGGGCUACACACGUGCUACAAUGGACGGUACAACG
This 637-nucleotide ribosomal RNA is filed under the name uncultured bacterium. RNAcentral describes it as "bacterial SSU rRNA". It matches the Rfam family "Bacterial small subunit ribosomal RNA", at positions 607 to 1244 of the family's 1533-position model. The record is from RNAcentral.